AUUUUAUUUAUAAUCAUUAUAAAGUGUUUUGUCAUUUGCAUCAUUUUCAUUACAAUUUUUGCAAUAUUUUAUUUUCAGCAAUCUUUAAUGUAAUUGUGCUAAAAUGUGUGUUUUCAUUGGUCAAGUGACCUAUGUAUGUGCUGAUUGCUGGUAUGAACCAGUUAUUAAAAUAUCAAAAUACUUCAUUUUUUGUUUGAGUCAAUUUUAAUUCAUUAUGAUAUGCAAAUGUUCAUAAAAAACAUGAAC
Molecule: long non-coding RNA, 246 nt
Filed under: Mytilus galloprovincialis (Mediterranean mussel)
Lineage: Eukaryota; Metazoa; Mollusca; Bivalvia; Mytilida; Mytilidae
Source: RNAcentral